GCCUAGAGCGUCCGUAGCCGGCUCUGUUAGUUUUCGGUUAAAUCCAUAUGCUCAACAUAUGGGCCGCCGGGAAUACUACAAAGCUAGGGAGUGGGAGAGGUAGACGGUACUCCGUAGGAAGGGGUAAAAUCCUUUGAUCUAUGGAUGACCACCAGUGGCGAAGGCGGUCUACCAGAACACGUUCGACGGUGAGGGAUGAAAGCUGGGGGAGCAAACCGGAUUAGAUACCCGGGUAGUCCCAGCUGUAAACUAUGCAAACUCAGUGAUGCAUUGGCUUGUGGCCAGUGCAGUGCCGCAGAGAAGUCGUUAAGUUUGCCGCCUGGGAAGUACGUACGCAAGUAUGAAACUUAAAGGAAUUGGCGGGGGAGCACCACAAGGGGUGAAGCCUGCGGUUCAAUUGGAGUCAACGCCAGAAAUCUUACCCGGAGAGACAGCAGAAUGAAGGUCAAGUUGAAGCCUUUACCAGACAAGCUGAGAAGUGGUGCAUGGCCGUCGCCAGCUCGUGCCGUGAGGUGUCCUGUUAAGUCAGGUAACGAGCGAGAUCCUUGCCUCUAGUUGCUACCAUUACUCUCAGGAGUAGUGGGGCGAAUUAGCGGGACUGCCGUAGUUAAUACGGAGGAAGGAGAGGGCCACGGCAGGUCAGUAUGCCCCGAA
This 654-nucleotide ribosomal RNA is filed under the name uncultured archaeon. Its description in RNAcentral is "bacterial SSU rRNA". It matches the Rfam family "Archaeal small subunit ribosomal RNA", at positions 508 to 1160 of the family's 1478-position model. The record is from RNAcentral.